Molecule: transfer RNA, 416 nt
Filed under: uncultured bacterium
Lineage: Bacteria
Description: 16S-23S ribosomal RNA intergenic spacer
Rfam family: tRNA (bases 104-177)
Source: RNAcentral
CUAAGGAUAUAUUCGGAACAUCUUCCUUGAGAAGAUGAAGAGGAAUGACAUUGACAUAUUGUAUUCAGUUUUGAAUGCUCAUUAGAGUAUUCUAUAAAUGAAUGGGCCUAUAGCUCAGCUGGUUAGAGCGCACGCCUGAUAAGCGUGAGGUCGGUGGUUCGAGUCCACUUAGGCCCACCAUAACACUUCUCUUUUUACUAAUCCCGGGGCCUUAGCUCAGCUGGGAGAGCGCCUGCCUUGCACGCAGGAGGUCAACGGUUCGAUCCCGUUAGGCUCCACCAAUACUUGUUCAUUGAAAACUGAAUGAAACGACAUUGAAAGUAAUCAAGUAAUCAACCGAGUCAUAGUAAUAUGACUCAAGCAAAUCUUUUUAACCUUCUAAUUCCUAUCGCUAGGAAGACGCUGGACCUUUUAUA